RNAcentral lists this long non-coding RNA (1596 nucleotides) under Dromaius novaehollandiae (emu). RNAcentral's name for it is "lncRNA (ENSDNVG00000015298.1)". Lineage: Eukaryota; Metazoa; Chordata; Aves; Casuariiformes; Dromaiidae. The record is from RNAcentral.
GGGACUGGGAACUACUUAUUUGUAGUAAUCGACGCGCAGCGUUACAGACUGUCUGCAACGCUCACACACAUUAGCGGGCGGGGGGGAGGGGAGGGCAAGAUUCUCUUAUUUGCGUUAACAUUUCCAGGCGGCCAAUGGCGGGGCGCCUUUUCAAAGAGCCGCGGGAGCGGCCAAUCAGGAGGGGCUCAUUUGCAUGCGGCGGCGCGGGGGCCAGGGCGGGAAUUCCUCGGCGCGCCGUCCCCCUCCCCGCUCGCCUCCCGGCCGCUCCKGGAAAGGUCACUCUGUGCGCGGGCCGAGACACUGCGUCUGGAGCCGGCGGGGGGCGGGGAGCCGCAGCCGCCGCCAUGAUCGCCGCGCCAGGGCACGCCGGGCCACGGCUUUAUCUUCCCUCAGCCUUUAAUGAAAGCACCUUCCCCCGCCCGCUCGCCCGCCUCCAAACGCAGCAUUUCAAAGCCCGCUUAUUUAUACAGCCGCUGUUUACCGAAAUAACGUGUCAUGCUCCCUCGCCCAUUGUGUCUCCUAAUUCCUGCCCUUCCUCUGCUGUGAUUUCUCGUUUAACUACAGCUGCCGCUAACUCCUCAGGAGAAGCUGGAGGCGUGUUCGCUCUGAAGAAGGCGAGGCGGCACCCAGGCGCUCGCCUGCACGCUCGUGAGCMGCGCUUUUUUGUUUUCUUUUUCUCUCACGUGGUCUUCAAAAGUGCAGAUCAGAACCAGGACCCUGCUGAAGUCAUUAAGUCAGGACCUUGCACCAAUAAGUCAGGUCCUUGGACUUCACAGUAUUUAAGCAGGUUUUGGAAGAGAAAAACAUAUUGCUUUUUCAUUGUCAUCUAUAUGAAUGGAAAUCCUCAGACCGAUUCUCAAGAAGAUAGUUUUAUGUUGCUGUCUCCUCACUUGAAACUCUAUUAUACCAUGCAUGACUGUUUCAUGUUUAAAAAAGGUUGAUUUAUUGUCUAUACUGCUGCCACUUUGCAUUUGGAGUUGUAAGGAGAGAAACAUCCUCAGACAUCGCACUGGGAUAACCUGCAAGGUGACCUGCAAGAAAAUAGUCUAUAAUUUGAGAACUUUGUUUAGUGAACUGUGGUUUGAAUAUCUUCAUCUUAUAAAUGGAACAGGAAUUUUUGUUUUGUUUUUUUUACAAGAUAGCAUUUUGGUGGAUCAUUGCUAUGUUCUGUAUUUUACCUUUAGCAGAUAUGUUAAUGAAUUCAAGCUGGCCAACCAAAGAAAAGUAAAAGCUAUUUUCUGUUUAUAAAGUAUGCUAAUUGAAUCACUAUAUGCAGUUUAAUUGUUUUGGUAAAUACUCUAAUGUUCCAUUUCUAAACAGUUCAUCUUUUAAUGGAGGAGGAGGAGGAGUGAGGGAUUUAGUAACUUGCCUAAAAUGAAGACAUAUUUUCUAAUUACUCAGAUUAAUCAUUAGCAUCGGCUCUUGUGAAGAAUCCCCUAAGGCACAAAUAUAUAUAUAAAUUUUAAAAAGGAAGUAAAGCUUUUCUUUAAAAUAGAACUUAAAACAGAAAUUGAAGCCAACUUUGAUGAAAGCUUCUUACAUUUUAAGCUGACUGUAGGGUACACGCCAAAUAAAUGUGGAGUGUUGCAAAACUCA